AUUGAACGCUGGCGGCAUGCUUUACACAUGCCAGUCGAGCGGCAGCGCGGGCUUCGGCCUGGCGGCGAGUGGCGAACGGGUGAGUAAUACAUCGGAACGUGCCCAGUAGUGGGGGAUAGCUCGGCGAAAGCCGGAUUAAUACCGCAUACGACCUGAGGGUGAAAGCGGGGGAUCUUCGGACCUCGCGCUAUUGGAGCGGCCGAUGGCAGAUUAGCUAGUUGGUGGGGUAAAGGCCUACCAAGGCGACGAUCUGUAGCUGGUCUGAGAGGACGACCAGCCACACUGGGACUGAGACACGGCCCAGACUCCUACGGGAGGCAGCAGUGGGGAAUUUUGGACAAUGGGCGAAAGCCUGAUCCAGCAAUGCCGCGUGUGUGAUGAAGGCCUUCGGGUUGUAAAGCACUUUUGGCGGGAACGAAAAGGACUGUGCCAAUACCACGGUUCGAUGACGGUACCCGCAGAAUAAGCACCGGCUAACUACGUG
This 484-nucleotide ribosomal RNA is filed under the name uncultured bacterium. RNAcentral describes it as "partial 16S ribosomal RNA". It matches the Rfam family "Bacterial small subunit ribosomal RNA", at positions 29 to 507 of the family's 1533-position model. The record is from RNAcentral.